UAGGGAAUCUUCGGCAAUGGGGGCAACCCUGACCGAGCAACGCCGCGUGAGUGAAGAAGGUUUUCGGAUCGUAAAGCUCUGUUGUAAGAGAAGAACGUGUGUGAGAGUGGAAAGUUCACACAGUGACGGUAACUUACCAGAAAGGGACGGCUAACUACGUGCCAGCAGCCGCGGUAAUACGUAGGUCCCGAGCGUUGUCCGGAUUUAUUGGUCGUAAAGCGAGCGCAGGCGGUUUAAUAAGUCUGAAGUUAAAGGCAGUGGCUUAACGAUUGUUCGAUUUGGAAAGUGUUAAGCUUGAGUGCAGAAGGGGAGAGUAGAAUUCCAUUUGUAGCGGUGAAGUGAGUAGAUAUAUGGAGGGAAGCAGGUGGGGAGAGCGGGGCUCUGGUCUGGAACUGACGCUGAGGCUCGAAAGCGUGGGGAGCAAACAGG
This 429-nucleotide ribosomal RNA is filed under the name bacterium. Its description in RNAcentral is "partial 16S ribosomal RNA". It matches the Rfam family "Bacterial small subunit ribosomal RNA", at positions 355 to 776 of the family's 1533-position model. The record is from RNAcentral.